This is a long non-coding RNA of Anguilla rostrata (American eel), 957 nucleotides long. RefSeq lists it as uncharacterized. The record is from RefSeq and is a predicted model, not a curated record. NCBI's taxonomy places the organism in Eukaryota, Metazoa, Chordata, Actinopteri, Anguilliformes, Anguillidae. The transcript is spliced from 2 exons.
GGGCGGGGCUUUCUGCUGUGGGGCUGGGGGGCGAGGUCUUCAGUGAGCGGGGAGGGAGGAUGCGGUCUUGGGCUGAUAAAUUUGUUGAUUAGGUUGGGAAUGAAUGAGUUUGUAGAUUUGAGUGCAUGAUUGGUAUUGAUGAGCGAAUGUGGUUUGACUCUAGGCGUGGUUGUGUCUGUGUGUGCACUGAAACCUAUCGACCUGUUAAUCUCUGAAAGCUCGGUGCAUAAAUGUGUUCAAGUGCUGGGUUGUACCUGCUUUUUCACAGCUAGAUACCUGUACAAUACCUCAGAUACAACUGUAUCAUUCCAGACUUUAGAGUGAAGAUUGUGGGUUCUGCACCACAUGUAGAUGUAUGGUAGUUACUUCUCUAUGGCCUGGAAUUGGUAAAUGUAGGACCAAGCUGGCAAGCUCAUACACUGCAAAGGGCUGUUAUGGUCAUCAUGGUAAUACCUCCCUCCAUCAGAGAAAAGAUCUGAUGAAUGGAAAUGGAUUCUACAGCCAUGUAUCUACUUCCUGUUCUGGGUGAAAUUCCCAAAAUUUGAGUAUGGAUGGUAUAUUUUUAUACUUCAUAGAUCAUUUUCUGAUUAUUGGGUACUUAAAGGGGAUCCACCAGUAGGUGGCGAUACGCAGUAUAUGAGCAAAAAUCUAAAUUACCUGUAUGGAGAGUAUGGCCUAAUUCAAGCAAUGAAAGAACAGUGUUGUGUAUGCUUGCCACAGAGGUGACUAAUAAAAAAAAAUGAAACUACAAAAGUAAACGAGCAGCAGAAUGGAAGCUUCAAAUAAACUGCUCUGAGCAGCUGCAAGCAUAUCAUCCUCUUUCAGUUAGAGUGAAUGUGCUAUUUAUAUAGGCUACCACCCAGCAUAUUUGAAAGUCCUUGUGUUGUGUAUAUCUUCCUAUGGUAUGCACAAAAAAAAAAAUCAAUUACUGACCUUUUAUAACUGACAGUCAAUUUU